RNAcentral lists this long non-coding RNA (333 nucleotides) under Chrysemys picta bellii (western painted turtle). RNAcentral describes it as "lncRNA (ENSCPBG00000007172.1)". The record is from RNAcentral. Lineage: Eukaryota; Metazoa; Chordata; Testudines; Emydidae.
UGGUCACCAUCUUUGUCCUCUAUCAGGGAUUUAACUGGGGACUUCCAAAGCUAAAAACAAGCGCCUCCUCCACUUGAGUUGUCUCCAGUCUAGAUGAGAGAUCUAGAAGAUCCACGUGCUUUGUAGACCAGAGCACAGUGGGUGCCUCCUGUGGAUUUCCCAGUGUGCUGCACAGAUAUCACAGCACAAUGAGAGAACAGAAAAUUAAUUUCAUCCUUCUAGUAUUCCUAGAUCAGCAAUAUGUAACGUUUUCUUCAGAAAAUGUAGAACUCUCAGGUACUGUAACUAUAGUUUAAAAAAAAAUCCUCAGAGGAAUACAAUGGGGAAGCAUAA